This 323-nucleotide ribosomal RNA is filed under the name uncultured eukaryote. RNAcentral's name for it is "bacterial SSU rRNA". It matches the Rfam family "Eukaryotic small subunit ribosomal RNA", at positions 622 to 956 of the family's 1831-position model. The record is from RNAcentral.
AGUUCUAGGCGUAAAAGCUCGUAGUUGGAUAUCUGGGGUGGUCUGUGGCGCACUAGCUGCGAAACAGACCAUACCCAUCCUUCUGUUAACAUGUAUUGGCACUCUCGUGUUGGACAUGGGCUCAGAUAUUUUACCUUGAAAAAAUCAGAGUGUUUCAGGCAGGCUUGGCCGGAAUACAAAAGCAUGGAGUAAUGGAAUUGACACAACUCUGUGGUUGGCCAGAGAAGUGUAAUGAUUAAUAGGAACAGUUGGGGGCAUUAGUAUUUAAUUGUCAGAGGUGAAAUUCUUGGAUUUGUUAAAGACUAACUAAGGCGAAAGCAUUU